Molecule: ribosomal RNA, 207 nt
Filed under: uncultured bacterium
Lineage: Bacteria
Description: partial 16S ribosomal RNA
Rfam family: Bacterial small subunit ribosomal RNA
Source: RNAcentral
AGCGUAGGUGGCGCUUUAAGUGAAAUGUGAAAGACCGGGGCCCAACCCCGGAACUGCAUUUCAUACUGGAGUGCUAGAGUACAGGAGGGGUAAUCGGAAUUCCUAGUGUAGCGGUUAAAUGCGUAGAUAUUAGGAGGAACACCAGAGGCGAAGGCGGAUUACUGGACUGCAACUGACACUGAGGCUCGAAAGCGUGGGGAUCGAACA